RNAcentral lists this ribosomal RNA (420 nucleotides) under uncultured microorganism. Its description in RNAcentral is "bacterial SSU rRNA". It matches the Rfam family "Bacterial small subunit ribosomal RNA", at positions 9 to 428 of the family's 1533-position model. The record is from RNAcentral.
GAGUUUGAUCGUGGCUCAGAUUGAACGCUGGCGGCAUGCCUUACACAUGCAAGUCGAACGGCAGCAUGAUCUAGCUUGCUAGAUUGAUGGCGAGUGGCGAACGGGUGAGUAAUACAUCGGAACGUGCCCUGUAGUGGGGGAUAACUAGUCGAAAGAUUAGCUAAUACCGCAUACGACCUGAGGGUGAAAGUGGGGGACCGCAAGGCCUCAUGCUAUAGGAGCGGCCGAUGUCUGAUUAGCUAGUUGGUGGGUAAAGGCCCACCAAGGCGACGAUCAGUAGCUGGUCUGAGAGGACGAUCAGCCACACUGGGACUGAGACGCGGCCCAGACUCCUACGGGAGGCAGCAGUGGGGAAUUUUGGACAAUGGGCGAAAGCCUGAUCCAGCAAUGCCGCGUGUGUGAAGAAGGCCUCGGUUGUAA